GGAAACGGAUGGAAAAGUGGUGGAAAUCUGGGUUAGAAAGAGGUGAAGGUGAAGAUCAUUAGAGGUUUUAGGGCUGGCUGUGGCUGUUUUGCUGGGUUUGUGUGACUGUGCCCAGAGGGCGGAGUUCCUGCACAUUCCUACCUCACCGGAGAACCUGCCCUCAACUCCACUGCAGCUACUCCAGAGAGAUGGGACCCUCCAGAAGAAACCUGCCCAGCAAUCCCAUCAAGCCUUCCCGCCAGAAGGAUGCCAGGAGAAACUGCCUGUACCUGCAAGAAAGGCGCACGAUGACACCUGGGGAUGGGAGUCCUCCGCCGGAGCAGGAUCACUGGAGGCAAACGUCGAAUUAAUUGCAUCUCAGGACUGAGGUUGGUAACUUUGCAUUGAACUAAGGUUAUCUCUGUCAUAGUGCCCAGGUGUUUACAAGACAUUUCAGGCGUUUCUAGAAAAGGUAGAUCCAGAAAACACAUAUGAUGGUAUUAAAAGGGGGUUACAGUAUCAUAUUGUCCAAAUCCAACUUUUCUUACUCCUGUGCAGGAAGGCAACUCUCUGUAGGUCUGUAUCAAUUUAUUUAAAGACUACAGAUUCAGGAGGAUCAUUCUGGAGUUUGUGUUUGUUUGGUUAGUUU
Molecule: long non-coding RNA, 628 nt
Organism: Pezoporus flaviventris
Lineage: Eukaryota; Metazoa; Chordata; Aves; Psittaciformes; Psittacidae
Exons: 3
Source: RefSeq, a predicted model, not a curated record